RNAcentral lists this transfer RNA (72 nucleotides) under Bos taurus (domestic cattle). It matches the Rfam family "tRNA". Rfam says of the family: Transfer RNA (tRNA) molecules are approximately 80 nucleotides in length. Lineage: Eukaryota; Metazoa; Chordata; Mammalia; Artiodactyla; Bovidae. The record is from Rfam by way of RNAcentral. RNAcentral also lists the same sequence under 4 other names.
UCCUUGGUGGCUCAGAGGUUAAAGCAUCUGCCUGCAAUGCUGGAGACCUGGGUUCAAUUCCUGGGUCGGGAA